GAUGAACGCUGACAGAAUGCUUAACACAUGCAAGUCAACUUGAAUUUGGGUUUUUAACUUAGGUUUGGGUGGCGGACGGGUGAGUAACGCGUAAAGAACUUGCCUCACAGCUAGGGACAACAUUUGGAAACGAAUGCUAAUACCUAAUAUUAUGAUAAUAGGGCAUCCUAUAAUUAUGAAAGCUAUAAGCGCUGUGAGAGAGCUUUGCGUCCCAUUAGCUAGUUGGAGAGGUAACGGCUCACCAAGGCGAUGAUGGGUAGCCGGCCUGAGAGGGUGAUCGGCCACAAGGGGACUGAGACACGGCCCUUACGCCUACGGGAGGCAGCAGUGGGGAAUAUUGGACAAUGGACCGAGAGUCUGAUCCAGCAAUUCUGUGUGCACGAUGAAGUUUUUCGGAAUGAAAAGUGCUUUCAGUUGGGAAGAAACAAAUGACGGUACCAACAGAAGAAGUGACGGCUAAAUACGUG
This 467-nucleotide ribosomal RNA is filed under the name uncultured bacterium. RNAcentral describes it as "partial 16S ribosomal RNA". It matches the Rfam family "Bacterial small subunit ribosomal RNA", at positions 28 to 507 of the family's 1533-position model. The record is from RNAcentral.